GUUCCUACGGGAGGCAGCAGUGAGGAAUAUUGGUCAAUGGCCGCAGGGCUGAACCAGCCAAGUCGCGUGAGGGAUGACGGUCCUAUGGAUUGUAAACCUCUUUUGUCAGGGAGCAAAGGGCGCCACGUGUGGCGCUUUGCGAGUACCUGAAGAAAAAGCAUCGGCUAACUCCGUGCCAGCAGCCGCGGUAAUACGGAGGAUGCGAGCGUUAUCCGGAUUUAUUGGGUUUAAAGGGUGCGCAGGCGGAGGUGCAAGUCAGUGGUCAAAUUGCGGUGGUCAACCCCGUAGUGGUGUUGAAAGUGCAU
Molecule: ribosomal RNA, 305 nt
Filed under: uncultured bacterium
Lineage: Bacteria
Description: bacterial SSU rRNA
Rfam family: Bacterial small subunit ribosomal RNA
Source: RNAcentral